UCGCCUAACAUCUCCCGCGUGAUCCGGUACAUCUGUCAAAGAAUAACGCAGGUGUCCUAAGGCCAGCUCAGCGAGGACAGAAACCUCGCGUGGAGCAAAAGGGUAAAAACUGGCUUGAUCCAGAUUUUCAGUACGCAUAGGGACUGCGAAAGCACGGCCUAUCGAUCCUUUAGUAUAAAGAGUUUUUAGCAAGAAGUGCCAGAAAAGUUACCACAGGGAUAACUGGUUUGUGGCGACCAAGCGUUCAUAGUAACGUUGCUUUUUGAUCAUUCGAUGUCGGCUCUUCUUAUCAUUGCGAAGCAAAAUUCGCCAAGCGUUGGAUUGUUCACCGAUUAAAAGGGAACGUGAGCUGGGAUUAGACCGUCGUGCGACAGGUUAGUUUUAUCCUACUGAUGGCUCGUCGUUGCGAUAGUAAUACUGCUCAGUACGAGAGGAACCGGAGUUUCGGACAUUUGGUUCAUGCACUCGGCCGAGCAGCCGGUGGCGCGAAGCUACCAUCCGCGGGAUUAUGCCUGAACGCCUCUAAGGCCUAAACCAGCCUAGCCGAAUCCGGCAAGGAUAUGCUCACUGUGGAGCCCCGAAAGUCGGGAGGCUAUAAACAAUGUGGAUUUACUAGUCGCGCUUUAUUCGUAAGGUGCGACGUCGAAGCCCAUUUGGAACG
This 661-nucleotide unclassified non-coding RNA is filed under the name Melitaea cinxia (Glanville fritillary). RNAcentral's name for it is "misc RNA ENSMCXG00005004746.1". The stretch from base 1 to 571 matches the Rfam family "Eukaryotic large subunit ribosomal RNA", at positions 2621 to 3401 of the family's 3401-position model. The record is from RNAcentral. Lineage: Eukaryota; Metazoa; Arthropoda; Insecta; Lepidoptera; Nymphalidae.